This 253-nucleotide ribosomal RNA is filed under the name uncultured bacterium. RNAcentral describes it as "partial 16S ribosomal RNA". It matches the Rfam family "Bacterial small subunit ribosomal RNA", at positions 524 to 776 of the family's 1533-position model. The record is from RNAcentral.
UACGUAGGGGGCAAGCGUUGUCCGGAAUCAUUGGGCGUAAAGAGCGUGUAGGCGGCUUGGUAAGUCCGCUGUGAAAGUCCAGGGCUCAACCCUGGAAUGCCGGUGGAAACUGUAAGGCUCGAGUCCGGAAGAGGCGAGUGGAAUUCCCGGUGUAGCGGUGAAAUGCGCAGAUAUCAGGAGGAACACCAAUGGCGAAGGCAGCUCGCUGGGACGGUACUGACGCUGAGACGCGAAAGCGUGGGGAGCAAACAGG